UUGAUUCAUCAUUGUUUUCGG
Non-coding RNA from Caenorhabditis elegans, 21 nucleotides. The record is from Ensembl. NCBI's taxonomy places the organism in Eukaryota, Metazoa, Nematoda, Chromadorea, Rhabditida, Rhabditidae.